CUUUCACUGAGCUGGUUGUUAUCAAUGGAGUCAGGCAGUUUAGACUACAGGGAAAUUAUCCUUAAACUUCCAGGCCAGAAGCAACCACUUCUUGCUCUCAACUAAGAACUGAGAGGCAGGCUGGCACAAAUGGAUAUAGUCUAAGAAUUAACAACAAAGAGACUUGUAUUCAAAUCCUGU
Molecule: long non-coding RNA, 180 nt
Filed under: Monodelphis domestica (gray short-tailed opossum)
Lineage: Eukaryota; Metazoa; Chordata; Mammalia; Didelphimorphia; Didelphidae
Description: lncRNA (ENSMODG00000042711.1)
Source: RNAcentral